This 468-nucleotide ribosomal RNA is filed under the name uncultured bacterium. RNAcentral's name for it is "partial 16S ribosomal RNA". It matches the Rfam family "Bacterial small subunit ribosomal RNA", at positions 28 to 507 of the family's 1533-position model. The record is from RNAcentral.
GACGAACGCUGGCGGCGUGCUUAACACAUGCAAGUCGAACGGAAAGGCCCUGCUUUUGUGGGGUGCUCGAGUGGCGAACGGGUGAGUAACACGUGAGUAACCUGCCCUUGACUUUGGGAUAACUUCAGGAAACUGGGGCUAAUACCGGAUAGGAUCUCCUGCUGCAUGGUGGGGGUGGGAAAGUUUCGGCGGUUGGGGAUGGACUCGCGGCUUAUCAGCUUGUUGGUGGGGUAGUGGCUUACCAAGGCUUUGACGGGUAGCCGGCCUGAGAGGGUGACCGGCCACAUUGGGACUGAGAUACGGCCCAGACUCCUACGGGAGGCAGCAGUGGGGAAUAUUGCACAAUGGGCGGAAGCCUGAUGCAGCAACGCCGCGUGCGGGAUGACGGCCUUCGGGUUGUAAACCGCUUUCGCCUGUGACGAAGCGUGAGUGACGGUAAUGGGUAAAGAAGCACCGGCUAACUCCGUG